RNAcentral lists this long non-coding RNA (212 nucleotides) under Elaeis guineensis (African oil palm). Its description in RNAcentral is "long non-coding RNA (EGUI_LNC050038)". Lineage: Eukaryota; Viridiplantae; Streptophyta; Magnoliopsida; Arecales; Arecaceae. The record is from RNAcentral.
ACUUAUCUGGCUAAUAUGAUCAAUCAUAUUUGGAUUAGAUCACCUAAUGAUUGGUCUUGACCCUUGCUAACUAAAAAAUCAGUAUGACUGAUUUAGGUGCCCCUAGUUCAACUUGUCUUGAGUCCUCAUCAUAACUUGGUGAAGUCAGUGGGAGAAUUUAUGACUAAUUGGGUGGACCAGAUUGGAUCUAAUUUUCUUUAAUCUGACUUAGU